AGUUUGAUCAGUGGCUCGAGGACGACGCUGGCGGCGUGCCUAACACAUGCAAGUCGAGCGGGGUCCAUCCGGUAGCAAUACCGGGGAAGACCUAGCGGCGAACGGGUGAGUAACACGUGAGAAACCUGCCCCGAAGUCUGGGAUAACCCGAGGAAACUCGAGCUAAUACCGGAUGUCUUCUUCUGAUCGCAUGGUCGGAUGAAGAAAGAUUUAUCGCUUCGGGAGGGUCUCGCGGCCUAUCAGCUAGUUGGCGGGGUAACGGCCCACCAAGGCGUCGACGGGUAGCUGGUCUGAGAGGACGAUCAGCCACACUGGGACUGAGACACGGCCCAGACUCCUACGGGAGGCAGCAGUGGGGAAUAUUGCGCAAUGGGCGAAAGCCUGACGCAGCAACGCCGCGUGCGGGAUGAAGGCCUUCGGGUUGUAAACCGCUUUCAGUGGGGACGAAUUCAGACGGUACCCACAGAAGAAGCCCCGGCCAACUACGUG
This 489-nucleotide ribosomal RNA is filed under the name uncultured bacterium. RNAcentral describes it as "bacterial SSU rRNA". It matches the Rfam family "Bacterial small subunit ribosomal RNA", at positions 10 to 507 of the family's 1533-position model. The record is from RNAcentral.